UUCUUGACUGGAGAUAAAAACUCUGGACCUACAGUCAUGCCACGCCAGAUGCUGACACGUUGAUUAGUAAGCCCUGCCCUGUUCUCUAUCAAGGAUUUUAUUGGAUAAAUCACCGGUGAUUGGCCACGAUUCGUCGAGCAAUUAAAAUGCAGCCUGUAAGAACGAGGGAUGCCCAGGACCUCAAAGUUCUUUCUUUCUGUUCUCAUAUUCAUACCCAUGAGAAUAAAAAAAUAUGUUAUUUUAAUAUAUUUUUAAAUAAUAAAUAUCUUAAAAAAAUAAUCAUUAUUCAGU
This 291-nucleotide long non-coding RNA is filed under the name Populus tremula. RNAcentral's name for it is "long non-coding RNA (PTRE_LNC002549)". Lineage: Eukaryota; Viridiplantae; Streptophyta; Magnoliopsida; Malpighiales; Salicaceae. The record is from RNAcentral.